Molecule: RNA transcript, 3805 nt
Organism: Hemiscyllium ocellatum (epaulette shark)
Lineage: Eukaryota; Metazoa; Chordata; Chondrichthyes; Orectolobiformes; Hemiscylliidae
Gene: chaf1b
Gene name: chromatin assembly factor 1, subunit B
Exons: 15
Source: RefSeq, a predicted model, not a curated record
GGGGGGAGAAGCGGAAGGUUACCUGGGAAGCGCGCGCGGGAAAGUGAGUUGUAGCAGAAAUUGGAACGUUGACCCGGGCCAGCUGGAGCAGCAUGAAGUUUGUCACCUGUGAAAUAGCAUGGCACAACAAAGAACCUGUAUACAGCGUUGACUUUCAGCAUGGAGCGGACGGAAGGAUUGACCGCUUGGCCUCCGCAGGGGUAGACAGUGCAGUUCGGAUGUGGAAGGUGGACAAAGGCCCGGAUGGAAAAGCGGCAGUAGACAUUUUAUCCAAUCUGAUCCGUCAUACGAAGGCUGUGAAUGUUGUACGAUUCUCCCCAAGCGGCGAGAUUCUUGCAUCCGGAGGAGAUGAUGCACUAAUAUUGUUAUGGAAAUUGAAUGACAACAAAGACAUCAAAGAAUCCGAACAAAACCUUUUUGAAGAGGAUGCUCAGUUAAAUAAGGAGAAUUGGACAGUACUCAAAACAUUACGGGGGCACAUAGAGGAUGUGUAUGAUAUCUGCUGGACUCUCGAUGGAAAUCAUAUGGUAUCUGGAUCAGUUGAUAAUACUGCCAUCAUGUGGGACGUUAAUAAAGGGACAAAGUUGUCCAUCUUCAAUGAGCACAAGAGCUAUGUGCAAGGUGUCACUUGGGACCCUCUCGGACAAUACAUUGCCACACUGAGUUGUGAUCGGGUUAUGCGGGUGUACAGCACACAGACCAGGCGGGUGGCAUUUAAUGUCAGCAAGAUGUCAUCUGGUAAUGAAGGCGAGACCAAGAGUUAUCGAAUGUUUCACGAUGAUGGCAUGAAAUCGUUUUUCCGCCGACUCACCUUCACAGCAGAUGGCUCUUUGUUGCUCAUUCCAGCUGGUUGCGUUGAAGCUGGAGAGAAUGUUACGAACACAACGUAUGUAUUUUCCAGAAAAAAUCUGAAAAGGCCCAUAGCCCAUCUACCUUGUCCUGCUAAAGCCACACUGGCUGUUCGUUGCUGCCCGGUAUUUUUUGAGCUAAGGCAACCAAAGGUCGAAGGUGAGUCACAUAAGAUGAUGAAUGUUUUUAAGUUGCCCUAUCGGCUGGUGUUUGCUGUAGCUUCAGAAGACUCCAUACUGUUGUACGACACUCAACAGACAGUGCCCUUUGGUUAUAUCUCAAAUAUCCAUUAUCACACCCUAAGUGAUAUAACAUGGUCACGCGAUGGGUUGUUCCUCACUAUUUCAUCCACUGAUGGAUACUGCUCCUUUGUCACAUUUGAGAAAGAUGAAUUGGGUGUACCUUUGAAAGAAAAGCCAGUGCUGUCCAUCCAGACCCCUGGCAUCUCGGAGAAAAGACUGAAAAAGGGUCAGGCAAACCGAUUAUCUGCUGGCACCCCAAAACAGACCGAGAGCAGCACUCCUGCUCGGACUGUGGAUCAACAGGACCAUUCUACCCCUGCUCAGCCAAACACACUCAGUGCAGUGGCAGCCCCUACUAAAGAGGUGCCUGGUACUCCCGUCACGACUAAAGCCUCUCCAUCCUCGGCGGACAGUGCUGUACAGGGCAGCAAGGCUUCUCAUUCCCGGAGGAUCACCUUGAGUACGUUGGAGGCCUGGAGCAAACCCAGCAAAGCACCCGUGCCAAGGCGAAUCUCACUGAUGCCUCUGAACUCCAGUACUUCCAAGGUGACAUCAACACCCGUCAUAACCCAAGCAGAAAAAACAGCACACGAGGGAUCUUCUCCUUCCAAUGAUCUUCAGUGCAAGUCACCAGAUGCUAAACGUUCGAGGAUUGAUGAUCAGCAGAGUGUCAGUCCCACAGAUAAUCUGGAAACAAAUGAUGAUUGCAGGAGGGACAAAUGAACAUUGCUCAGAACUUUUUUAAAACAUGUACUUUGUGUAAAAUUCUGCAGUGUGGUCAGUUUUGCUGCAAUGUGUAGAUGUAUAUGUGAGCUGGAAGUUGCAGUGUAAAGCAUCUCUUAAUUUUGUUCUUUUUGUUACCAGUUUUUAAUAUUACAUCCUUUCAUCCUCUUGGUAUUGGUGACAUUAGGCUGUUUCUAAAUGUGAAUAGUCCUGUUUUAGUUAAUCAUUGUACAAAGUAUCAAUUAUAAAAUUAAAAGCAUUUUCUGUUUUGUGUUGGUAGAAAUGUGCACUUGAUAGUCCACUUCCUAAAUGAUUCAACUUGAUGGAGCACAUCUAUUGCAGCUCAAAGAUCUUUCAUGCUGCAUGUGUACUUGAAGUGCAGUGACUUAAGAAAGUCUACAACCACUUUGUGCACAGCAAUUAGAAUGAUUAAUAACCUGCCUAAUAAUGUAAGUUAAUGAGUGAAUUCAAGCCACACACUCAUUAGAAUUGUUUGACAUUGCCGUGCAUUUCCUGAGUGUAGAUUUAUAUCUGUCAGGUCUCAUGCACCGAGAGAAUGGGGAUGGUGUAAGGCUGGCAGUCAGCAACUUUGUUGUCAUUUUACACUGACCCACUUGUUCUCGGCUCCUUUCAGAGCUGCCGUGUAAGUGGAGGAGUGGAUUGCUUCACUUGUCCCCAGUGAGUUGGGAGAAAAGAACAUUAAAAUGGAAGUUUAAAUGGCUGUAAUGGUGUUUGAGGAAUACAGUAAUACCUUGUAAACACAGCCAGACUCCACCAUGAUGACCUAGAAGUGCCAAAUUGUUGAUUCAUCUCAGUUUCCUCCUAAACUCUCCACAGAUCAGUCCCAUUCCUUCCAUGCGAGAUCAAUAACUGACAGGUUUGGAUGUGGCAUACGUUAUGGCCCUUUGUAGUACAUCACCUCCAGUGCAGGUACUGUCCCCAUGACACUGUUCCAGUGUUUUAACACUGGGUCUUACUAAUAAUGGGAAAUUCCAUCAUGCUUUUGACCUGUACCAAUGCUUAGGCACGUGUUGGGGAGUGAGGACAUGAGUUACUUUCACCCAGAAUUUCUAUCCUGAUGUGAACUUAUAGCUGUAUUUAUAUGGCUGUUCCAGUUUAUGGUCAAUAGUAUAAAAUGGGCUAUUUAAUUAAUUGGGUUAUAACAUCGCUGCUUAUUGAAAGAGCUAUCUGAUGUAGGGUUAAAUUUAACUUGGAACUUACCAUACACUAUAAACGAUGAUCACAUUGAUUUGCUGGGGGACGUUUGCUACUCUUCGACUUUUUCUGAACAGCAAUAUCUCACCACAUCAAGAAGAUGUAACACUCCUUAUUCAUUGCACUAUGAUUGCUUAUAGGGAGAUAGCAACAACCGUGCAAGACCAUGGACCCUUGAAUUGAAGCAACCUGCAUUUAAAAAAAAUGAGAGAAAUUGGAACUUUGUUUCAAAGAGGCCAGAUACAGGCAUCAGCUACUGAACCUGAGAAAGUUGUGAACAACACAGCAGCUCCUCACACGACCACAUGUUGCUGGGGAAAUUUGGCAUGACGGUGAAUACCCUUGCCGACUUUCAUAGGUGCGGUAUCAAGAGUAUUGUCUGGAUGUACCACUACCUGGUAUGGCAACUGUACCGUUCAAGAUCGGAGACAGUUACAGAGAGUGAUGAACUUGGCCUGGACAAUCACAAAGGCCAACCUCCCAUCAAUAGAAUCCAUCUACCAGGCUCACAGUUAAGGAAAGGCUGCCAGCAUUCUUAAAGAUCCGUCCCACCCUGGCAAUGUUUUUCGACAACCUCUACCAUCGGGGAGAAGGUACAGAAUCCUGAACACGUGUACCAGCCAGUUUCGAAACAGUUUCUACCUUACUGUUGUUAGACUACUGAAUGGACUCACAAACUCUUAACAAUCGCCUGUACCUGUGUUUUUGUUUUAGCUGCUGUUUACCUAUUAUUUACUAUCUAUUUUACUUAACUCUGUGGUCUACCUGUAUUGCUC